AUACGGAGGAUCCGAGCGUUAUCCGGAUUUAUUGGGUUUAAAGGGUGCGCAGGCGGGAGAUUAAGUCGGCGGUGAAAUUUUGCAGCUCAACUGUAAAAGGGCCUUCGAAACUGGUUUCCUUGAGUGUAGAUGAAGUAGGCGGAAUUUGUGGUGUAGCGGUGAAAUGCAUAGAUAUCACGAGGAACUCCGAUUGCGCAGGCAGCUUACUAAACUACUACUGACGCUCAGGCACGAAGGCGUGGGGAUCAAACAGGAUUAGAUACCCUGGUAGUCCACGCAGUAAACGAUGAUUACUAGCUGUUUGCGAUACAAUGUAAGCGGCUGAGCGAAAGCGUUAAGUAAUCCACCUGGGGAGUACGUUCGCAAGAAUGAAACUCAAAGGAAUUGACGGGG
This 393-nucleotide ribosomal RNA is filed under the name uncultured bacterium. RNAcentral's name for it is "partial 16S ribosomal RNA". It matches the Rfam family "Bacterial small subunit ribosomal RNA", at positions 523 to 918 of the family's 1533-position model. The record is from RNAcentral.